UGUGCACACCAAUCAGUACACUGGGAAGAGGAGAGACUCGUACUGAGUGGCUUCUCAAUGGGAGAGAAGAGCUGAGAGGAGAGAGGGACGGAGAGAGCGAACGCACGAGAGAGAGAAAGAGAGAGAGAUAAGUGCCGUCGCAUGUGCAGGACCAAAAAGUGAAGAGGCAAAUUAGCUUGUUAUCCCCCAAAGAAGCUUCACCUUCACAGAGAAGCGUGAGGAGGCUAAGAAACAGGAGGAAGACGUUGCUUCUCUGGUGAUUUAAAGGUGACAUGACAAGCCUCUCGUCCCUCAAAUCCCAGCUAGUUUCUGACAGCGUUUCACAGCUGUGACGGGAGUUCCUGCUGUCGGGUGCCUGACUGUGUUCGCUCGUGGAUUGCAGCCAGAAGGACUUACAACAGAAGAGGGGAUCAAGGGCAGGAGCGGGAACAAAAGUCUCCUCAUCCCCCCUCUGACCCGCAGAUCCGAACAGGAACUUUUGCUGGGAAGCUCUGAGCAUGGAUGGAUUUAUGACUAUGUGCUGAGGAUAUUGGACCAACAAUUGACGCCACGUUUCUUGAACGUUCUCCUCACCGUAUCUCACAGCCGGUGCUCCUGCCAUGUCCUGGCUCCUGUGUCUGUGGAUAAGUGUUAGCUGCUUAUUGCUGUGCCACGCCACUUUGUACGAGACCAUCCAGCAGCAUCAUGUGACCCGGCCGGGCCGCAACACCAUACAGAUUCUGGAGGGAGGAACAUGCGAAGUCAUCGCAGCACACCGAUGUUGCAACAAGAACCGCAUUGAGGAGCGUUCCCAGACGGUCAAGUGCUCAUGUUUACCGGGAAAAGUGGCCGGCACAACACGAAACAAACCCUCCUGUGUAGACGCCUCCAUCGUGAUUGGGAAGUGGUGGUGUGAGAUGGAGCCGUGUCUGGAGGGAGAGGAGUGUAAGACACUACCAGACAACUCCGGCUGGAUGUGUUCCUCUGGGAACAAGAUCAAGACCACGAGGAACACCCAGCCAUAUUCGACUUUUUAGCUCUGAGGGCCACCGAAGCUGGCUCGCCAGAAGCUCAGCGGCGUUCUUCUCCUCAUCAAGAUUCAUCCCCGGACCUAACAAAGAGCUCCUUCACAGGCAGUGAAUGUGGAUUCUUUCUGUCAGAAUGGACGAAACCAUUCAUUCAAAGGGGUGUUUGACUGGAUUACCUGUGGUUGAACAAUAAAGAAGGACAUUCUUGGGGAUAAAGGCGAGAUUUGCUCAUUUGGUGCCAAGGAAUAUGACUUAACAGAAAUAAAACAGGCUAAUCUGUGUUUUUGAUCAAUGAGCCCAACGCUGCGGACUCGACCGUGUCCGAUUCUCUCAAUUUUCUGCGUUUCUCCUGACCACCUUCCUCUGGUUCUAAACUCAUACAGCUUAGGGGAGCCGUUUACUGGAUUUUAAAUUAUAUUUGAAGACUUUACCUCCCUAGGUAAACUGGACAAUCCUGAUAUAAGCUGUGAAUGACUGUAUGAAGGAUCAUGAUGGAUAAGCACUGGCCUGUGAAAAUGAGGUGGAAAUCAAUAGGAGAUUUUUUUCCAUCCCUCCAUCAUUUUGUCGUUCCGCGUUCACGCUGGCUUUGGUAACAGACUAGGAGCUUGUGAAGCCCUGCUAUUUCCCUCCACUUCUGAGUUUACCGCUAGUGUCCACACGCUGUCUGUUUGGGAAUACCCCCAGGUCAAAGGUCACCUCACUGUCUACACGUACUUGGGCCAGAUAUCUUUUUAUUUGUCGGCAUGCUCAAUGUAUUUUGUGGGAGCUUUGUAUUGAAGUAACUGUAUAUAUUUCUGUAUAUAUACAUAUAGAUACAUAUUAAAAGACAUCAUAUGACGAUCUAUCAUGCCCUAAACCUGUUCAGUGGGUUUGAAUUAAGACUGUAUUCAUGGGUUUUGGCUCCUUGAACAAGAAGUACAAUUAAUCCCUAAUUUAAGGCUGUCUGUGGAAAUAUAUAAAUAUAUAUUCUCUAGAUGUAAUGGAAAUCCGGCAUUUUUUGCUUGAAUUAGAAUUUGUUCUAUUGGGUCCAUGAUGAAAAAACUAAGGAAAAUUCACUAAACAGUUGCAACACUCUUGCACUAUUUUGCAACGUUUAGCGCUAAAAUAGCCCUGAGCUAUUAGUAUCAAAGUCAUUCAUCUAAGUUUCCAUGUAAAUUAGGCUUAUUAUAAAUUCCAGCUUAUUCACAAAACUCUACUGCUACUCUAGUGCUACUACCGCUGGCGGAAAUCAGAUGGUAAAUGACUUUAUGUACAUUUUCUACUGAUCAUAGCAACAGUAAUUCAACACGUAAUGGGCAAAUAAUGGGGAAGAACAGAUGUGCAUAGUAGUUGACCACACUUGGUGCUGUAAGGUCCCAUUAAAGCACAUCAAAUUAUAGUAGCGUGUCCACUGUAUCCUCCACAACCUACUAUAGAGCACAGAAGCAACCAGUGAGUUUGGGAAUUGUGCCAUGCACAGAUUUGUGGUCGCUUUUGUUCUGUUAUCUGAUUUGCAUAAUUCUGAAUCUGGCACUUAAAUACAGCACACAAUGUAAUUAAUUGCCUUUGUCGGCAGGCGCAACUCAUUCUUAGUGAAUUUCCCAAAGAUAUCAGUCUAUUGGCCACAGUCACCUAUUGGAAUGCUUCAGUCCAUGAUUCAGUUUGUUCUAUGCUGUUCUGAGAAUAGAUAGGCUUCAUUAUGCUUGUGUAGGUUUCAUAAAUACAAGACAAUAGAAGAUAUUCAUUUUGUCAAAGGUGAUAACCGUGAUAACCAAACACUGGAUCUGUGUCACUGGACAGAAAUCUAAAUCAGUUCAGAAAAAUGAAGCCCUAGUUUGGUAGGGUCUUCGGGGAAGAUGAGAUGUCAUUUUCAAGAGAUAUAAUGUGUUUAUAAUGUUUGCCAGCUUAAAGGUAUAGUUCACCCAAAAAUAAAACUUCCGUCAUUGAUUACUCAUGCCUCAUAUCGUUCCAAACCCGUAAGACCGUUUAUCUUCAGAACACAAAUUAAGAUAUUUUUGAUUAAAUCCAAGAGCUUUCUGUCGCUGCAUAGACAGCAACACAACUGACACGUUCAAGGCCCAGAGAGGUAGUAAGGACAUUGUUAAAAUAGUCCAUGUGACAUCAGCGGUUCAACUCAAAGAAAGAAAAGAAAAAUAACAACUUUAUUCAACAAUUCUUCUUGUCUGUGUCAGUCUUUGAUGUGGGCCUUGAAUGUGUCAGUUGCGUUGUCGUCUAUGCAGGGUCAGAAAGCUGUCAGAUUUCAUCAAAAAUAUUUUAAUUUGUGUUCCGAAGAUGAACGAAGGUCUUAAAAGUUUGGAACGAUAUGAGAGUAAGUAAUAUUACCAUACGUCCACAUGAAUUAUGAGGGAAUGACUAUUCAGAAUGUCACAUUAAACAUGCUUUUAGUUUUCUGUGUCAAUCUAGUUUCAAGUGGUUGGCGAAAAGGUGGGCUUCAUUUCUCUUUACUGGCAUCAGUAGACAUGCAACUACAGUAGCUUUGGUAGAUAAACAUGCAGCCUUAU
Molecule: RNA transcript, 3508 nt
Organism: Labeo rohita (rohu)
Lineage: Eukaryota; Metazoa; Chordata; Actinopteri; Cypriniformes; Cyprinidae
Gene name: chemokine-like protein TAFA-1
Exons: 6
Source: RefSeq, a predicted model, not a curated record